UACGGGGGAUGCAAGCGUUAUCCGGAUUUAUUGGGUUUAAAGGGUGCGCAGGCUGAUCGGUAAGUCAUGGGUGAAAAGUCACUGCUUAACAGUGAUCGUGCCUAUGAUACUGCCGGACUAGAGUUUAAGAGGUGUAACUGGAAUGUGAUGUGUAGCGGUGAAAUGCUUAGAUAUGUCACAGAACGCCAAUCGUGAAGACAGGUUACAAACUUAAUACUGACGCUCAUGCACGAAAGCGUGGGGAUCAAACAGGAUUAGAUACCCUGGUAGUCCACGCUGUAAACGAUGAUCACUCGUUGUUGGGUAGUAAUACUCAGUGGCUAAGCGAAAGCGAUAAGUGAUCCACCUGGGGAGUACGAUCGCAAGGUUGAA
Molecule: ribosomal RNA, 372 nt
Filed under: uncultured bacterium
Lineage: Bacteria
Description: bacterial SSU rRNA
Rfam family: Bacterial small subunit ribosomal RNA
Source: RNAcentral